This 640-nucleotide unclassified non-coding RNA is filed under the name Hevea brasiliensis (rubber tree). The record is from RNAcentral. Lineage: Eukaryota; Viridiplantae; Streptophyta; Magnoliopsida; Malpighiales; Euphorbiaceae.
UACUAUUAGGAUUAGGAAUCCCAACAAUAAAAUGCUAAACCAAUUAUAAUUAAGAAUCCUAGACAUACAUAAACUAGGAAAAUAAUAAUAAACCUAAUGGAAUUCUAUGAAUAAUAAAUUUUAAACCUAAAUAUGUAAACUUUCUUAGUUUACAAUGAAUAUAAUUCCUAAGUAUCCUAAGUUGAAUCAAAUUUCAAUACUGCAUCACUACAUCAUGUCAAGCAGGAGCUGUGCUAUUUUGGAGAUUUUCUUUGAUUCCAUGUUGCAGCCUGAUAAUUUUAGUGUUAAUAGUCUCUAUUGGUCAGACUAUGAAAAGUUGGUUUGAAUUCACAUUAGGCAUGUAUGAAUAGCCAGUUUUUGUUGGUAGUGCAAACUGGCAACAAAAUGCACUUGCAUAGCCAGCUUCAGAUCCUUGAGUAGUAGUAUUUGCAUAUGCUUUUUUAUCUCAAUAUCAUUUUCAGAACCCUUCCUUCUCUCCCCAGUGCAGGCUUGACUCAUAUCAAAGCUUCAUAGUAUGCUAAAACACUUCUCAUCUGAACAUAAAAAAAUUAUUGAUCUGGCAGGUAUAUCAAUGGAGGGUGAUGAUGAGCUCCUGGCAGAAAUUGAAGUUAAAGUGGCCCCAAAAAGAGAUGAAUGGAUG